UUAGAACUUGGCUACACUGCCACAUUCAUUGCGGAAUUGACUGGAUGAACCUGGUAGAGACGGAGGAGAUCCCGAUGAUUGGGACCAAACUGUUCAUACUAUUCCCGCUGUGGAUGUCGCUGCUUUUCGUUGUCCAUUGACUGCUGAGCAGUUAUUCGAGAUGGAGAGGCGCAUCGGAAAAGAACAGAUUGAUCUCGAAAGUUUACAAAUUAAAUACUAGGAAGUGAAAAAUUAUGUUUUGAACUCAAUUGGUUAACUGAGCCCUUUUUAUUUGCCUUUCUAACACUUCUCACUCUGCCAACUCAUUCCAAUACGUGUCGAAAUUGGCUGUUGAUGUGUCCACUUGCUGGUUCAUGUGAAAGUCAAUAAAAAGCGUAACGAUAGGUCUUAACGUUA
Long non-coding RNA from Daphnia pulicaria, 396 nucleotides. RefSeq lists it as uncharacterized. The record is from RefSeq and is a predicted model, not a curated record. The transcript is spliced from 2 exons. NCBI's taxonomy places the organism in Eukaryota, Metazoa, Arthropoda, Branchiopoda, Diplostraca, Daphniidae.